UUUCGCUAUUUCAAAUAGAAAAAGUUCAGACUUCAUCGUUUUAAAUGCAAGAAUUUUAUGGUCCUCUGGCGGGGGCUCACCGGCCCCGGGGAGGGGACCAGCGGGGCCAUUACUAGCCGCGCCCCGCCAAAGCAACUAAGGGUACGUUCACAUAGGGUUGGGAGGUCUGGGGGCCCGAAGGCACCCCAAGCUCUCUUUAAUGAUCCUUCCGCAGGUUCACCUACGGAAA
RNAcentral lists this unclassified non-coding RNA (229 nucleotides) under uncultured fungus. Its description in RNAcentral is "sequence contains ITS1". Lineage: Eukaryota; Fungi. The record is from RNAcentral.